RNAcentral lists this ribosomal RNA (262 nucleotides) under uncultured bacterium. RNAcentral's name for it is "partial 16S ribosomal RNA". It matches the Rfam family "Bacterial small subunit ribosomal RNA", at positions 57 to 305 of the family's 1533-position model. The record is from RNAcentral.
GCAAGUCGAGCGGAAACGACAACAUUGAAUCUUUGGAGGAUUUGUUGGGCGUCGAGCGGCGGACGGGUGAGUAAUGCCUAGGAAAUUGCCUUGAUGUGGGGGAUAACCAUUGGAAACGAUGGCUAAUACCGCAUAAUGCCUACGGGCCAAAGAGGUGGAUCUUCGGACCUCUCGCGUCAAGAUAUGCCUAGGUGGGAUUAGCUAGUUGGUGAGGUAAUGGCUCACCAAGGCGACGAUCCCUAGCUGGUCUGAGAGGAUGAUC